AGGCGCCUAAGGUAGGGACUCAGUAUAUGCGCGCUUCAGGUUUCAGUUUUUCGGGUUACAGGCCUGUUUCGGUUUUGGUUUUUGGGUUGGCACGGUAUGCACUGUGGCUGGCAGACGUGCCUGGAAGCCCCAGGCUACCACCUUGGAGGACCGGGAGACUGAGGACGCUCAGCGAAACUCCCAUCAGAAAUUCCCCUAGGCGGGAGUUUGGUGCCAACAGCGGUUACAUUUUAGGUUUCAGUUUUUUUUGGGGGAAUUGCUUUUCUGUCUGUAACAUGGGUCAAACUGUGUCCACGCUGCUAUCUCUUACUUUGGCUCACUGGCCUGAUGUGUGGGCUAGGGGAUCUAAUCUCUCUCUUCUGAUUAAGAAGGUAAAGCAGCAGUCUUUCUGUGCCUCUGAAUGGCCUACUCUUGGAGUGGAUUGCCCCCCCCCCCCCCCGGAGGGCUUAUUCCAUUUACCACUCAUUUGCUGAGUGAAAGAGGCCAUUCUCCUGCCUGGCCGUCAUGGGCACCUGGACCGGGAUUUUGAGAAGACAUCGGAGACUAAAAGCUGUUGAACUCCAAAUGGUCAUCAGGCAAGACUUCCAGCCCAUUCCACUGGACGACUUGAGCAGCCCUCUGGACCGAGCAACACAGUCUUUCCAAGGCCACUGUUGCACACCAUAAGACAGGUAGCAAGAGGAAAUACCCAAAUCCCCCUCGACGCCCACAUGCCAGCUUCGAAGAAGUUACAGAAAACGGAACUCCAUCCAUAAUCCCAAAGAAGAAUUUUGGGUAUUACCUCUUGAGGGAAAAAUAUUAGGCAGAAAGUCAGUUAUGAGCUUAUGUGUGUGUGACAUAAAGGCCUAAUGUGUCCAGCAUAUGCAUCUACAUCUCAGUCAUCUUGACAAUGUUUCACGGGCAGCCUGGCCUUUGCAUCCUGCCCUGCCCCCUUCUACCUGAUAACCUUCCAGGUGGAGAUGCCCGCCCCUUCUGCCUGACAAAUCUUCCACAAUCUCCCAGAUGCAGCCCAGUAUCUGCAUUUCAGUAUUACAGAACAGGCGGGGGGUUAAAUCUCAUUUUCAUGGGGGUGGGUUAUGCGCGGCCCUAAAGAAAAAAUGUUGUUUUUAUGCCGACUGAACCGGGGUGGUUAGAAACUCCAUGGCCAAACUCAAAAAAUGACUGGAAAAAUGCAACGGGAAAGGAAAACUCAACAGGGAUGGUUUGAGUCAUGGUUCGGCCGGUCCCCAUGGCUUACUACUCUACUGUCAGCCCUAACAGGACCCUUAAUUGUUCUACUCCUAAUUGUAACCAUAGGACCUUGUGUGUUAAAUAGACUCAUCACCUUCAUGUGGGAACAAGUUAAAAAUGUUAAACUCAUGGUUGUAAGACAACAAUAUGUCACAUUAAAAGAGACAAAAACGAAUAAUCUCUAAGAUUAGAGAUCCUCACAACAAGGAGUGGGGAAUGAAGAGUUAAAAUUGUAUAUGUGUGGGUGUCAAGAGUUAAGCUUAAGCUUACAGGUUUAAAAACCUUCCUGGUGCAGCUGUGAAAAUAAGACAGAGUAAAGUAGCACCUUGACAGUAGGGACUCCAUUUUGGAGCACUUGAGACUGCAUUCUGGGAAAGCAACCCCCCCACCGUGAGACUCUGGUCUGAAACUAUGAUCUCAAAUAGUCGGACAAUAGCAGUACACUACAUCACCCUUGGCAAUGCACAAAAACCCCCUAGCAUGAUUGCUCAAGCUUAAAAGUAAAAAGGUUACACCUGGGUUACCUGGGCUAAUAAUAAAGAUGUGAUUUGUCUAUGUCUUAAGAUCAUAAUUGCUGAUUGUAAGACUUUAGCAACCGCUUAACAACCGUGUAUUCUCUUCCCCUUCCCGGUUUUGCGGUUUUUGCCUUUAUAAACCCUAACCUUUGGUUAUUCGGGGCUGCUCUGCUCAUGAUGAUCAGACAGCCCCAGCAUGCUGGAUAAUCAAUAAAGCUUCCCCUUGCUGUUUGCAUAA
This is a non-coding RNA of Oryctolagus cuniculus (rabbit), 1983 nucleotides long. The record is from RefSeq and is a predicted model, not a curated record. Lineage: Eukaryota; Metazoa; Chordata; Mammalia; Lagomorpha; Leporidae.